UACGUAGGGGGCAAGCGUUGUCCGGAUUUAUUGGGCGUAAAGAGCUCGUAGGUGGUUCGGUAAGUCGGAUGUGAAAUCUUCAGGCUCAACCUGGAGGGGUCAUUCGAUACUGCCGUGACUAGAGGUCGGUAGGGGAGUGUGGAAUUCCUGGUGGAGCGGUGAAAUGCGCAGAUAUCAGGAGGAACACCCGUAGCGAAGGCGGCACUCUGGGCCGAUACUGACACUGAGGAGCGAAAGCGUGGGGAGCGAACAGG
RNAcentral lists this ribosomal RNA (254 nucleotides) under uncultured bacterium. RNAcentral describes it as "partial 16S ribosomal RNA". It matches the Rfam family "Bacterial small subunit ribosomal RNA", at positions 524 to 776 of the family's 1533-position model. The record is from RNAcentral.